This 300-nucleotide ribosomal RNA is filed under the name uncultured Pyrobaculum sp. Its description in RNAcentral is "bacterial SSU rRNA". The stretch from base 52 to 300 matches the Rfam family "Bacterial small subunit ribosomal RNA", at positions 547 to 795 of the family's 1533-position model. Lineage: Archaea; Thermoproteati; Thermoproteota; Thermoprotei; Thermoproteales; Thermoproteaceae. The record is from RNAcentral.
GGAAUCCUCGGUGCAGGGUGGGGUGGAAUUCGGGGGGUGGGUGCGUGGUGCGGAAUGACGUGGCUUAAAGGGCGCUGAGGCGGUUCGGUAAGUUGCUGGUGGAAUGCCUGGGCUCAAGUCCGGGUGUGCCGGCACGAUGGCCGGACUUGAGCACGGUAGGGGCAGAUGGAAUGCCCGGUGUAGCGGUGGAAUGCGUAGAGAUCGGGAAGAAUACCAGUGGCGAAGGCGUUCUGCUGGGCCGUUGCUGACGCUGAGGCGCGACAGCGUGGGGAGCAAACAGGAUUAGAUACCCCAGUAGUC